UAAGUUAUUAAGGGCGCACGGUGGAUGCCUUGGCACUAGAAGCCGAUGAAGGACGUUACUAACGACGAUAUGCUUUGGGGAGCUGUAAGUAAGCUUUGAUCCAGAGAUUUCCGAAUGGGGAAACCCAGCAUGAGUUAUGUCAUGUUAUCGAUAUGUGAAUACAUAGCAUAUCAGAAGGCACACCCGGAGAACUGAAACAUCUUAGUACCCGGAGGAAGAGAAAGAAAAUUCGAUUCCCUUAGUAGCGGCGAGCGAAACGGGAAGAGCCCAAACCAAAAAGCUUGCUUGUUGGGGUUGUAGGACACUCUAUACGGAGUUACAAAGGACGACAUUAGACGAAUCAUCUGGAAAGAUGAAUCAAAGAAGGUAAUAAUCCUGUAGUCGAAAUGUUGUCUCUCUUGAGUGGAUCCUGAGUACGACGGAGCACGUGAAAUUCCGUCGGAAUCUGGGAGGACCAUCUCCUAAGGCUAAAUACUCUCUAGUGACCGAUAGUGAACCAGUACCGUGAGGGAAAGGUGAAAGCACCCCGGAAGGAGAGUGAAAUAGAACCUGAAACCGUGUGCUUACAAGUAGUCAGAGCCCGUUAAUGGGUGAUGGCGUGCCUUUUGUAGAAUGAACCGGCGAGUUACGAUUUGAUGCAAGGUUAAGCAGUAAAUGUGGAGCCGUAGCGAAAGCGAGUCUGAAUAGGGCGUUUAGUAUUGGUCGUAGACCCGAAACCAGGUGAUCUACCCUUGGUCAGGUUGAAGUUCAGGUAACACUGAAUGGAGGACCGAACCGACUUACGUUGAAAAGUGAGCGGAUGAACUGAGGGUAGCGGAGAAAUUCCAAUCGAACCUGGAGAUAGCUGGUUCUCUCCGAAAUAGCUUUAGGGCUAGCCUCAAGUGAUGAUUAUUGGAGGUAGAGCACUGUUUGGACGAGGGGCCCUCUCGGGUUACCGAAUUCAGACAAACUCCGAAUGCCAAUUAAUUUAACUUGGGAGUCAGAACAUGGGUGAUAAGGUCCGUGUUCGAAAGGGAAACAGCCCAGACCACCAGCUAAGGUCCCAAAUAUAUGUUAAGUGGAAAGGAUGUGGCGUUGCCCAGACAACUAGGAUGUUGGCUUAGAAGCAGCCAUCAUUUAAAGAGUGCGUAAUAGCUCACUAGUCGAGUGACACUGCGCCGAAAAUGUACCGGGGCUAAACAUAUUACCGAAGCUGUGGAUUGUCCUUUGGACAAUGGUAGGAGAGCGUUCUAAGGGCGUUGAAGCAUGAUCGUAAGGACAUGUGGAGCGCUUAGAAGUGAGAAUGCCGGUGUGAGUAGCGAAAGACGGGUGAGAAUCCCGUCCACCGAUUGACUAAGGUUUCCAGAGGAAGGCUCGUCCGCUCUGGGUUAGUCGGGUCCUAAGCUGAGGCCGACAGGCGUAGGCGAUGGAUAACAGGUUGAUAUUCCUGUACCACCUAUAAUCGUUUUAAUCGAUGGGGGACGCAGUAGGAUAGGCGAAGCGUGCGAUUGGAUUGCACGUCUAAGCAGUAAGGCUGAGUAUUAGGCAAAUCCGGUACUCGUUAAGGCUGAGCUGUGAUGGGGAGAAGACAUUGAGUCUUCGAGUCGUUGAUUUCACACUGCCGAGAAAGCCUCUAGAUAGAAAAUAGGUGCCCGUACCGCAAACCGACACAGGUAGUCAAGAUGAGAAUUCUAAGGUGAGCGAGCGAACUCUCGUUAAGGAACUCGGCAAAUGACCCGUAACUUCGGGAGAAGGGUGCUCUUUAGGGUUAACGCCCAGAAGAGCCGCAGUGAAUAGGCCCAAGCGACUGUUUAUCAAAACACAGGUCUCUGCUAAACCGUAAGGUGAUGUAUAGGGGCUGACGCCUGCCCGGUGCUGGAAGGUUAAGAGGAGUGGUUAGCUUCUGCGAAGCUACGAAUCGAAGCCCCAGUAAACGGCGGCCGUAACUAUAACGGUCCUAAGGUAGCGAAAUUCCUUGUCGGGUAAGUUCCGACCCGCACGAAAGGCGUAACGAUUUGGGCACUGUCUCAACGAGAGACUCGGUGAAAUCAUAGUACCUGUGAAGAUGCAGGUUACCCGCGACAGGACGGAAAGACCCCGUGGAGCUUUACUGUAGCCUGAUAUUGAAAUUCGGCACAGCUUGUACAGGAUAGGUAGGAGCCUUUGAAACGUGAGCGCUAGCUUACGUGGAGGCGCUGGUGGGAUACUACCCUAGCUGUGUUGGCUUUCUAACCCGCACCACUUAUCGUGGUGGGAGACAGUGUCAGGCGGGCAGUUUGACUGGGGCGGUCGCCUCCUAAAGGUAACGGAGGCGCUCAAAGGUUCCCUCAGAAUGGUUGGAAAUCAUUCAUAGAGUGUAAAGGCAUAAGGGAGCUUGACUGCGAGACCUACAAGUCGAGCAGGGUCGAAAGACGGACUUAGUGAUCCGGUGGUUCCGCAUGGAAGGGCCAUCGCUCAACGGAUAAAAGCUACCCCGGGGAUAACAGGCUUAUCUCCCCAAGAGUUCACAUCGACGGGGAGGUUUGGCACCUCGAUGUCGGCUCAUCGCAUCCUGGGGCUGUAGUCGGUCCCAAGGGUUGGGCUGUUCGCCCAUUAAAGCGGUACGCGAGCUGGGUUCAGAACGUCGUGAGACAGUUCGGUCCCUAUCCGUCGUGGGCGUAGGAAAUUUGAGAGGAGCUGUCCUUAGUACGAGAGGACCGGGAUGGACAUACCUCUGGUGUACCAGUUGUCGUGCCAACGGCAUAGCUGGGUAGCUAUGUGUGGACGGGAUAAGUGCUGAAAGCAUCUAAGCAUGAAGCCCCCCUCAAGAUGAGAUUUCCCAACUUCGGUUAUAAGAUCCCUCAAAGAUGAUGAGGUUAAUAGGUUCGAGGUGGAAGCAUGGUGACAUGUGGAGCUGACGAAUACUAAUCGAUCGAAGACUUAAUCA
This 2905-nucleotide ribosomal RNA is filed under the name Staphylococcus aureus. Its description in RNAcentral is "bacterial LSU rRNA". It matches the Rfam family "Bacterial large subunit ribosomal RNA". The record is from RNAcentral. Lineage: Bacteria; Bacillati; Bacillota; Bacilli; Caryophanales; Staphylococcaceae.